GACGAACGCUGGCGGCGUGCCUAAUACAUGCAAGUAGAACGCACAGUUUAUACCGUAGCUUGCUACACCAUAGACUGUGAGUUGCGAACGGGUGAGUAACGCGUAGGUAACCUGCCUGGUAGCGGGGGAUAACUAUUGGAAACGAUAGCUAAUACCGCAUAAUAUUGAUUAUUGCAUGAUAAUUGAUUGAAAGAUGCUAUUGCAUCACUACCAGAUGGACCUGCGUUGUAUUAGCUAGUAGGUGAGGUAACGGCUCACCUAGGCGACGAUACAUAGCCGACCUGAGAGGGUGAUCGGCCACACUGGGACUGAGACACGGCCCAGACUCCUACGGGAGGCAGCAGUAGGGAAUCUUCGGCAAUGGACGAAAGUCUGACCGAGCAACGCCGCGUGAGCGAAGAAGGUUUUCGGAUCGUAAAGCUCUGUUGUAAGAGAAGAACGGGUGUGAGAGUGGAAAGUUCACACUGUGACGGUAUCUUACCAGAAAGGGACGGCUAACUACGUG
This 505-nucleotide ribosomal RNA is filed under the name uncultured bacterium. Its description in RNAcentral is "partial 16S ribosomal RNA". It matches the Rfam family "Bacterial small subunit ribosomal RNA", at positions 28 to 507 of the family's 1533-position model. The record is from RNAcentral.